RNAcentral lists this long non-coding RNA (422 nucleotides) under Mytilus galloprovincialis (Mediterranean mussel). The record is from RNAcentral. Lineage: Eukaryota; Metazoa; Mollusca; Bivalvia; Mytilida; Mytilidae.
GUGUUUACGAUAAUUUAAGGUGGUAUGGGAGUCUAAAAUAAAAAUGAUAGAAUUUGUUCAUACUUUGCCAAAACGUAGUAUCUAUUGAUAUAUGUUGAAAAAUAUAAUAAAAAUGAUAGGUCACCGCGCAUUUUCUCAAGCUACAGGACGUGACAAAAUGACACAUUUUGUAUGGAUUAUACAGGAAAAAAUACCAUUUUGUGAUUAGAAACUAAACAAAGUGAUAGAAUUGUUAAAUACUUAAGGAAAAGAUAGCUUUCAGACAAUGCUUUGAGAAAAUCAAAAGAAAAGAUAGGGUCACCGUACGUUUAUUCUGGCUAAAAUACAAAAUAGGAAAAUUCCAUGUAGAAUCCUUCAGAAAAUGCACUGUUUUAGAGUUACCUCCCCUUAAAAUGCCAAUUUAAUUUUUUUUUAAAAACAAC